UGGAGCGACGAACCAGGGGCUUGCCCCUGGGGCAGAGCCGCGAACGGGUGAGUAACACGUGGGCAACCUGCCCCGAUGACCGGGACAACCCGAGGAAACUCGGGCUAAUACCGGAUGUGCUCCCGCCACACCAGUGGCGUGAGGAAAAGAAGCUUCGGCCUCCGCAUCGGGAUGGGCCCGCGGCCCAUUAGCUUGUUGGUGGGGUAACGGCCUACCAAGGCGACGAUGGGUAGCUGGUCUGAGAGGACGAUCAGCCACACUGGGACUGAGACACGGCCCAGACUCCUACGGGAGGCAGCAGUGGGGAAUCUUGCGCAAUGCGCGAAAGCGUGACGCAGCAACGCCGCGUGGGGGAAGACGGCCUUCGGGUUGUAAACCCCUUUCAGUUGGGACGAAGUCCGGUCGGUGAACAGCCGCGCCGGGUGACGGUACCUUCAGAACAAGCCCCGGCCAACUACGUGCCAGCAGCCGCGGUAAUACGUAGGGGGCAAGCGUUGUCCGGAAUCAUUGGGCGUAAAGCGCGUGUGGCGGCUCGGUAAGUCCGCUCUGAAAGCCCGGGGCUCAACCCCGGGAGGCGGGCGGAUACUGCCGAGCUCGAAUCCCGGAA
Molecule: ribosomal RNA, 607 nt
Filed under: uncultured bacterium
Lineage: Bacteria
Description: bacterial SSU rRNA
Rfam family: Bacterial small subunit ribosomal RNA
Source: RNAcentral